CCUACGGGGGGCAGCAGUGGGGAAUAUUGCACAAUGGGGGAAACCCUGAUGCAGCGACGCCGCGUGAGUGAAGAAGUAAUUCGUUACGUAAAGCUCUAUCAGCAGGGAAGAAAUACUGACCUUACGGUCAGCAGACGGUACCUGAGUCAGAAGCCCCGGCUAACUACGUGCCAGCAGCCGCGGUAAUACGUAGGGGGCAAGCGUUAUCCGGAUUUACUGGGUGUAAAGGGGGCGUAGACGGUGCGCCAAGUCUGGAGUGAAAUGCCGCAGCUUAACUGCGGAACUGCUUUGGAAACUGGCGAACUAGAGUGCGGGAGGGGUAAGUGGAAUUCCUAGUGUAGCGGUGAAAUGCGUAGAUAUUAGGAGGAACACCGGUGGCGAAGGCGGCUUACUGGACCGUAACUGACGUUGAGGCUCGAAAGCGUGGGGAGCAAACAGGAUUAGAUACCCGGGUAGUC
RNAcentral lists this ribosomal RNA (458 nucleotides) under uncultured bacterium. RNAcentral describes it as "partial 16S ribosomal RNA". It matches the Rfam family "Bacterial small subunit ribosomal RNA", at positions 338 to 795 of the family's 1533-position model. The record is from RNAcentral.